GGGUUGUGAGGUUAAGCGACUAAGCGUACACGGUGGAUGCCCUGGCAGUCAGAGGCGAUGAAGGACGUGCUAAUCUGCGAUAAGCGUCGGUAAGGUGAUAUGAACCGUUAUAACCGGCGAUUUCCGAAUGGGGAAACCCAGUGUGUUUCGACACACUAUCAUUAACUGAAUCCAUAGGUUAAUGAGGCGAACCGGGGGAACUGAAACAUCUAAGUACCCCGAGGAAAAGAAAUCAACCGAGAUUCCCCCAGUAGCGGCGAGCGAACGGGGAGCAGCCCAGAGCCUGAAUCAGUGUGUGUGUUAGUGGAAGCGUCUGGAAAGGCGCGCGAUACAGGGUGACAGCCCCGUACACAAAAAUGCACAUGCUGUGAGCUCGAUGAGUAGGGCGGGACACGUGGUAUCCUGUCUGAAUAUGGGGGGACCAUCCUCCAAGGCUAAAUACUCCUGACUGACCGAUAGUGAACCAGUACCGUGAGGGAAAGGCGAAAAGAACCCCGGCGAGGGGAGUGAAAAAGAACCUGAAACCGUGUACGUACAAGCAGUGGGAGCACAGAGCAAUCUGUGUGACUGCGUACCUUUUGUAUAAUGGGUCAGCGACUUAUAUUCUGUAGCAAGGUUAACCGAAUAGGGGAGCCGAAGGGAAACCGAGUCUUAACUGGGCGUUAAGUUGCAGGGUAUAGACCCGAAACCCGGUGAUCUAGCCAUGGGCAGGUUGAAGGUUGGGUAACACUAACUGGAGGACCGAACCGACUAAUGUUGAAAAAUUAGCGGAUGACUUGUGGCUGGGGGUGAAAGGCCAAUCAAACCGGGAGAUAGCUGGUUCUCCCCGAAAGCUAUUUAGGUAGCGCCUCGUGAAUUCAUCUCCGGGGGUAGAGCACUGUUUCGGCAAGGGGGUCAUCCCGACUUACCAACCCGAUGCAAACUGCGAAUACCGGAGAAUGUUAUCACGGGAGACACACGGCGGGUGCUAACGUCCGUCGUGAAGAGGGAAACAACCCAGACCGCCAGCUAAGGUCCCAAAGUCAUGGUUAAGUGGGAAACGAUGUGGGAAGGCCCAGACAGCCAGGAUGUUGGCUUAGAAGCAGCCAUCAUUUAAAGAAAGCGUAAUAGCUCACUGGUCGAGUCGGCCUGCGCGGAAGAUGUAACGGGGCUAAACCAUGCACCGAAGCUGCGGCAGCGACGCUUAUGCGUUGUUGGGUAGGGGAGCGUUCUGUAAGCCUGCGAAGGUGUGCUGUGAGGCAUGCUGGAGGUAUCAGAAGUGCGAAUGCUGACAUAAGUAACGAUAAAGCGGGUGAAAAGCCCGCUCGCCGGAAGACCAAGGGUUCCUGUCCAACGUUAAUCGGGGCAGGGUGAGUCGACCCCUAAGGCGAGGCCGAAAGGCGUAGUCGAUGGGAAACAGGUUAAUAUUCCUGUACUUGGUGUUACUGCGAAGGGGGGACGGAGAAGGCUAUGUUGGCCGGGCGACGGUUGUCCCGGUUUAAGCGNNNNNNNNNNNNNNNNNNNNNNNNNNNNNNNNNNNNNNNNNNNNNNNNNNNNNNNNNNNNNNNNNNNNNNNNNNNNNNNNNNNNNNNNNNNNNNNNNNNNAAGGCUGAGGCGUGAUGACGAGGCACUACGGUGCUGAAGCAACAAAUGCCCUGCUUCCAGGAAAAGCCUCUAAGCAUCAGGUAACAUCAAAUCGUACCCCAAACCGACACAGGUGGUCAGGUAGAGAAUACCAAGGCGCUUGAGAGAACUCGGGUGAAGGAACUAGGCAAAAUGGUGCCGUAACUUCGGGAGAAGGCACGCUGAUAUGUAGGUGAAGUCCCUCGCGGAUGGAGCUGAAAUCAGUCGAAGAUACCAGCUGGCUGCAACUGUUUAUUAAAAACACAGCACUGUGCAAACACGAAAGUGGACGUAUACGGUGUGACGCCUGCCCGGUGCCGGAAGGUUAAUUGAUGGGGUUAGCGGUAACGCGAAGCUCUUGAUCGAAGCCCCGGUAAACGGCGGCCGUAACUAUAACGGUCCUAAGGUAGCGAAAUUCCUUGUCGGGUAAGUUCCGACCUGCACGAAUGGCGUAAUGAUGGCCAGGCUGUCUCCACCCGAGACUCAGUGAAAUUGAACUCGCUGUGAAGAUGCAGUGUACCCGCGGCAAGACGGAAAGACCCCGUGAACCUUUACUAUAGCUUGACACUGAACAUUGAGCCUUGAUGUGUAGGAUAGGUGGGAGGCUUAGAAGUGUGGACGCCAGUCUGCAUGGAGCCGACCUUGAAAUACCACCCUUUAAUGUUUGAUGUUCUAACGUGGACCCGUGAUCCGGGUUGCGGACAGUGUCUGGUGGGUAGUUUGACUGGGGCGGUCUCCUCCUAAAGAGUAACGGAGGAGCACGAAGGUUGGCUAAUCCUGGUCGGACAUCAGGAGGUUAGUGCAAUGGCAUAAGCCAGCUUGACUGCGAGCGUGACGGCGCGAGCAGGUGCGAAAGCAGGUCAUAGUGAUCCGGUGGUUCUGAAUGGAAGGGCCAUCGCUCAACGGAUAAAAGGUACUCCGGGGAUAACAGGCUGAUACCGCCCAAGAGUUCAUAUCGACGGCGGUGUUUGGCACCUCGAUGUCGGCUCAUCACAUCCUGGGGCUGAAGUAGGUCCCAAGGGUAUGGCUGUUCGCCAUUUAAAGUGGUACGCGAGCUGGGUUUAGAACGUCGUGAGACAGUUCGGUCCCUAUCUGCCGUGGGCGCUGGAGAACUGAGGGGGGCUGCUCCUAGUACGAGAGGACCGGAGUGGACGCAUCACUGGUGUUCGGGUUGUCAUGCCAAUGGCACUGCCCGGUAGCUAAAUGCGGAAGAGAUAAGUGCUGAAAGCAUCUAAGCACGAAACUUGCCCCGAGAUGAGUUCUCCCUGACUCCUUGAGAGUCCUGAAGGAACGUUGAAGACGACGACGUUGAUAGGCCGGGUGUGUAAGCGCAGCGAUGCGUUGAGCUAACCGGUACUAAUGAACCGUGAGGCUUAACCUUACAACGCCGAAG
This 2995-nucleotide ribosomal RNA is filed under the name Escherichia coli. RNAcentral describes it as "partial 23S ribosomal RNA". It matches the Rfam family "Bacterial large subunit ribosomal RNA". The record is from RNAcentral. Lineage: Bacteria; Pseudomonadati; Pseudomonadota; Gammaproteobacteria; Enterobacterales; Enterobacteriaceae.